Callithrix jacchus (white-tufted-ear marmoset) is the source of this 2180-nucleotide long non-coding RNA. NCBI's taxonomy places the organism in Eukaryota, Metazoa, Chordata, Mammalia, Primates, Cebidae. The record is from Ensembl.
GGUCUCUUGAGUUUUCAGUCAAUUAUUGGCCAGGGCUGCAGAUCUGAAAGCUUGACUGGGGACAGAAAAAGUGAGGAUCGACUUUCAAGUUCGCUCACUUGGUUGUUGUCAGGCUUCAGUUAUUUGCCAGUUGUUGGCUGGAAACCUGUUCCUCAUCACACAGAGCUCUUCACAAGCUGCCUGAGUUUUCUUACAACAUGGAAGCUAAAUUUUUCAAGAGUCACCAGCACCAGGGGAGCAAACAAAUGCCUGUCUGAUUUCAUACGAAGAGACACUUCAUGUUGCAGCUGCUGAGCAGUGCCUUCAGCUGACCUACCCAUUGAAGUCUGCUGUCUUGGCUCUCAGGUAAAGUCCAUGAAUUAUCUAGUAGAGGUGAUGCAUUUGCUGAAUCCACACUCCCCAUGCUGCCUUCCUUUUUCCAAUGACCAACCCACACUGCAAAAUAGAAAGUGAGGGCUAUGAGAUGCAGACUGGAUAUGGAAGGAAGGUUUUCAGCACCAGCUCUUUUGUGGGCCUAGAGUGAGGAUACGCAUCUCCACUCUAUGUUUUUAAUUUCUUUUAUAUCUACAUAUGCUAUUUCUUAUCUGCUACCACUUCCCAUCCCUACUAUCAAAGUCUUGUACAUUCAAAUUAUCAUAAAGUCAUCUCUUCUGUGAAAACCCCGAUCUCUGCUUUGCUAUCAUCUCAUUUCUUUUUUGAAUUCCUAUAGUGGUACUAGUUUAAGGGAAUUUGUUGGCUCUAUAUCUACAGCAGAUGUACAGGAAUAGAGAGAGAUUUUUGGAAUGACAGCAGUACUAAUGCUGCCAUAAGCUUCAUUCUGCAUCCAUUAUUAUUAUUGCUUUCAUUGUGGGUAGUAUUAAUUCUUCCAUGCCAGUUCUUUUUGAGAGGAAGAAAUUGAAGCUAACAAAAGAAACUUGGCUUAUAUUUUUUCAGCUUCACCAUCAGAGAAAAAUGGACUCUCUUUCCUUGAUUCCAGGAAGGACUUGGUAUACUGGCUUGGGUUGUUUGUGAGCCACGUGACUAUGGGGUGAGGGUGGUGAUCGGCAGUCUCAAACAUAAGACGGGAAGGAGCACUUAAGGAACCUUGAUGUUUUUCCUGAAAAAGAUAGAUCUAUACACAUCAAACCUAGGUAAAUUGACUACAGGGCUAAAUUGAGUAGCAAUGUAGUGACUAGAAAAUUAUAUAAUAUUUUAUAUCACCUUAUUAUAUUAACACUUCCAUAUCUGAUUGUGUUAUGUUACAAACAUAAGGAGAGUACAUUAGGAAAAAGGAGAUAUGAGAACUUGUGUAAUUUAGUAAUUUAUCCUUGUAUCUCAAGCCCCAGAACCAAACAUGAUAACUUAUAUUUUUUAUUUAAUAAGUUAAUAUACAUAUUACAUAUCUAAACUUUUAAAUUAUUUAUGCAUCACAUAGUGAAUAAAAUGAGCCACCUAAUUUCAUCAGAAAUUAACUACUUAAUUCAGUCAUGCAUCACAAACAAUGGAGAUAUGUUCUGAGAAAUGCAUGUUUAGGUGAUUUCUUCAUUGUGUGAACAUCACAGAAGAUACUUACACAAACCUAGAUGGUAUGGCUUAUGAUAUGAUUUGGCUGUGUCUCCACCCAAAUCUCAUCUUGAAUUGUAGCUCCCAUAAUUCCUCUGUGUCAUGGGAGGGACGUGGUGGAAUGUAAUUGAAUCACGGGGGCAGGUCUUUCUUGUGCUGUUCUAAUGAUAGUGAAUAAGUCUCACAAAAUCUGAUGGUUUUAUAAAGGGGAGUUUUGCUACAGAAGCUUUCAUGCCAGCUGCUAUGUAAUAUGAGAUUUUGCUCCUCAUUUGCUUUCAUCCAUUAUUGUGACGCCUCUCCAUCCAUGUGGACUCACAAGUCCAUUAAACCUCUUUCCUUUAUAAAUUACCCAGUCAUGAGUAUGUCUUUAUUAGCAGCAUAAGAACACACUGAUACAGCCUCCUAUACACCUAGGCUAAAUGGUAUGGUUAGCCUAUUGUUCCUGGGGUACAAAUCUAUACAGCAUGUUACUGUACUGAAUACUGUGGCCAAUUAUAACACAAUGAGAAGUAUUUGUAUACCUAAACAUAGAAAAAGCACCAUCAAAAUAUGGUAUAAAAGAUAAAAAAUGGUACCCCUGUAUAGGGUAGUUACCAUGAGUAGAACUUGUAGGAACAGGUACUGCAAGUGGCUUCUGC